AUACGGAGGGUGCAAGCGUUGUUCGGAAUUACUGGGCGUAAAGCGCGUGUAGGCGGUCGGGCAAGUCGAAUGUGAAAUCCCCGGGCUCAACCCGGGAAUUGCAUCCGAAACUGCUUGGCUAGAGUCCCGGAGAGGAAGGCAGAAUUCCCAGUGUAGGGGUGAAAUCCGUAGAUAUUGGGAGGAAUACCAGUGGCGAAGGCGGCCUUCUGGACGGUGACUGACGCUGAGAUGCGAAAGCGUGGGGAGCAAACAGGAUUAGAAACCCCGGUAGUCC
This 274-nucleotide ribosomal RNA is filed under the name uncultured bacterium. RNAcentral describes it as "partial 16S ribosomal RNA". It matches the Rfam family "Bacterial small subunit ribosomal RNA", at positions 523 to 796 of the family's 1533-position model. The record is from RNAcentral.